AAGCGCAACCCUUGCCAUUAGUUGUAGAAAGGGCACUUUAAUGGGACUGCCGGUGACAAACCGAAGGAAGGUGGGGAUGACGUCAAGUCUUCAUGGCCCUUAUAGGUGGGGCUACACACGUCAUACAAUGGCUGGUACAGAGGGUUGCCAACCCGCGAGGGGGAGCUAAUCCCAUAAAACCAGUCGUAGUCCGGAUCGCAGUUUGCAACUCGACUGCGUGAAGUAGGAAUCGCUAGUAAUCCCGGAUCAGAAUGUCGCGGUGAAUAAGUUCCCGGGUUUUGUACACACCGCCCGUCACACCAUGGGAGGGGGUUCUGCCAGAAGUAGGUAGCCUAUGUUUAUGGAUGGCGCGG
This 353-nucleotide ribosomal RNA is filed under the name bacterium HPC757. RNAcentral's name for it is "bacterial SSU rRNA". It matches the Rfam family "Bacterial small subunit ribosomal RNA", at positions 1094 to 1455 of the family's 1533-position model. The record is from RNAcentral.